CAAAGAUCCGUAAUUCAAACGACAGCAUGUCAACAUAGAACAGACCUAUACAAAACUCUUGUAUUAUCAAAUCUAUUACUCAAGAACACUAAUUACACGCAUGCCAAAUAACAACAGUCAUAUUAAUUCCACACCGCUCAAAACGUUCCGCGACAUGUUUAUCACUGGGCGCUAUAUAAUGCCAUUGCAUGCAGUCAUUACAUAAACGAGCAUUCGCACCAGUUACAGCUUCCCGCAUGAUCAACCAUGCUAUCCUAGUAUACUACGGUGCACUGGUUAAACAUCGACCAAACAAAGAUAGUCAUUUCAAACAGCUCAAGCCUUCCCGCGACAGAUUGAUCAUGGAGCACUGCAAACAAGGCC
Molecule: non-coding RNA, 363 nt
Organism: Paramuricea clavata
Lineage: Eukaryota; Metazoa; Cnidaria; Anthozoa; Malacalcyonacea; Plexauridae
Source: the annotation of a GenBank genome assembly